UACGUAGGGUGCAAGCGUUGUCCGGAUUUAUUGGGCGUAAAGCGCUCGCAGGCGGUCCGAUGCGUCGUGCGUGAAAGACCCCGGCUCAACUGGGGGGUGUCGUGCGAUACGGUCGGACUGGAGGCCAGUAGGGGGAUGCGGAAUUCCGGGUGUAGUGGUGGAAUGCGUAGAGAUCCGGAGGAACACCAGCGGCGAAGGCGGCAUCCUGGACCAAUAUUGACGCUGAGGAGCGAAAGCCAGGGGAGCAAACGGG
RNAcentral lists this ribosomal RNA (253 nucleotides) under uncultured bacterium. RNAcentral describes it as "partial 16S ribosomal RNA". It matches the Rfam family "Bacterial small subunit ribosomal RNA", at positions 524 to 776 of the family's 1533-position model. The record is from RNAcentral.